CAGAUGAGUCGGGGUCUGGAUGUGGCUCCAAGUGAAAGGCCUGUGGGGUCCACCUAGGUCCGUGCAGGUUACAAAUGGCAACCAGAACAGGGACUCCAAGCACGCCCAACUAGCAGCAUCCAAACAUGGGACUUCAAGGACGUGAAUGAAGAAGGUCUGCUGGAGCAGAGGAACUGAAAUUGACAAGGCGAAAGGGGACCCUGGGAAGAGUCUGCCGGCAGCAGAUAUAAGUCUGUAAAAUCGGAUGGACCACCAAUUGGAGAAUGAGAGCCUCCCAGCCCAGCCUUACAUUCUUUCAAUUAAUACAUAAACAGAAAGGGGGAUAUGCAGGGAGCCAAAGGCCUGUGGGACGUGACCAACUCAGCAUUCUGCUGGAGGCUAUAUGAUCAAACAGCAAACUGUUUAUCAUGAAUACAGGAUGUGAGCAAACUCAGGACUGCUCCUGCCAACAUAAGGUUUGCUGGAGGCAAUCACUCCCUGGCACCGAGGUUAUCUACUGCGACAUCUAGAGAAUGCAGUCUUGCAAGCCUACUCUGAACUGAGCAGCCGACCCCUUCUUCCACCCCCCCACCCUCCUAUCUCUUUUGCCUAAUAAAUACGGAGGGCUGUGUAAAGCUCAGGGCCCUUGUCCACUAGAGGUAAGGUGCUCCCUGACCCCUUCUCCCAA
This 667-nucleotide long non-coding RNA is filed under the name Homo sapiens (human). Its description in RNAcentral is "non-protein coding ZNF350-AS1:7". The record is from RNAcentral. Lineage: Eukaryota; Metazoa; Chordata; Mammalia; Primates; Hominidae.